CGGGCUGCAGCAGUGGGGAAUAUUGCACAAUGGGCGCAAGCCUGAUGCAGCGACGCCGCGUGGGGGAUGACGGCCUUCGGGUUGUAAACUCCUUUCGCUAGGGACGAAGCGCAAGUGACGGUACCUGGAGAAGAAGCACCGGCUAACUACGUGCCAGCAGCCGCGGUAAUACGUAGGGUGCGAGCGUUGUCCGGAAUUACUGGGCGUAAAGAGCUCGUAGGUGGUUUGUCGCGUCGUUUGUGUAAGCCCGCAGCUUAACUGCGGGACUGCAGGCGAUACGGGCAUAACUUGAGUGCUGUAGGGGAGACUGGAAUUCCUGGUGUAGCGGUGGAAUGCGCAGAUAUCAGGAGGAACACCGAUGGCGAAGGCAGGUCUCUGGGCAGUAACUGACGCUGAGGAGCGAAAGCAUGGGUAGCGAACAGGAUUAGAUACCCGAGU
RNAcentral lists this ribosomal RNA (438 nucleotides) under uncultured Corynebacterium sp. RNAcentral's name for it is "bacterial SSU rRNA". It matches the Rfam family "Bacterial small subunit ribosomal RNA", at positions 342 to 791 of the family's 1533-position model. Lineage: Bacteria; Bacillati; Actinomycetota; Actinomycetes; Mycobacteriales; Corynebacteriaceae. The record is from RNAcentral.